AGGCCUAUGGCUUAAUGGAUAAUGCGCCGGUCUAGGGAACCCGAGAUUCCAGGUCCGAUCCCUGGUAGGCUAG
Transfer RNA from Volvox carteri f. nagariensis, 73 nucleotides. It matches the Rfam family "tRNA". From Rfam's summary of the family: Transfer RNA (tRNA) molecules are approximately 80 nucleotides in length. The record is from Rfam. NCBI's taxonomy places the organism in Eukaryota, Viridiplantae, Chlorophyta, Chlorophyceae, Chlamydomonadales, Volvocaceae.